UGGGGAAUAUUGGACAAUGGGCGAAAGCCUGAUCCAGCCAUGCCGCGUGUGUGAAGAAGGCCUUUUGGUUGUAAAGCACUUUAAGCGAGGAGGAGGCUACUUGGAUUAAUACUCUAGGAUAGUGGACGUUACUCGCAGAAUAAGCACCGGCUAACUCUGUGCCAGCAGCCGCGGUAAUACAGAGGGUGCGAGCGUUAAUCGGAUUUACUGGGCGUAAAGCGUGCGUAGGCGGCUUCUUAAGUCGGAUGUGAAAUCCCUGAGCUUAACUUAGGAAUUGCAUUCGAUACUGGGAAGCUAGAGUAUGGGAGAGGAUGGUAGAAUUCCAGGUGUAGCGGUGAAAUGCGUAGAGAUCUGGGAGAAUACCGAUGGCGAAGGCAGCCAUCUGGCCUAAUACUGACGCUGAGGUACGAAAGCAUGGGGAGCAAACAGG
This 430-nucleotide ribosomal RNA is filed under the name Bacillota bacterium. RNAcentral describes it as "Firmicutes bacterium partial 16S ribosomal RNA". It matches the Rfam family "Bacterial small subunit ribosomal RNA", at positions 355 to 776 of the family's 1533-position model. Lineage: Bacteria; Bacillati; Bacillota. The record is from RNAcentral.